UACAGAGGGUGCAAGCGUUGUUCGGAAUUAUUGGGCGUAAAGGGCGUGUAGGCGGUCUGCUAAGUCAUGUGUGAAAUCCCUCGGCUUAACCGAGGAACGACGCAUGAAACUGGCAAGCUAGAGUACCAAAGAGGGGGGUGGAAUUCCCGGUGUAGCGGUGAAAUGCGUAGAGAUCGGGAGGAACACCAAUGGCGAAGGCAGGUCACUGGACCAAUACUGACGCUGAGAUGUGAAAGCUAGGGGAGCAAACAGG
Molecule: ribosomal RNA, 253 nt
Filed under: uncultured bacterium
Lineage: Bacteria
Description: partial 16S ribosomal RNA
Rfam family: Bacterial small subunit ribosomal RNA
Source: RNAcentral